AUUAGAUACCCUGGUAGUCCAUGCCGUAAACGUUGGGCGCUAGAUGUGGGGACCAUUCCACGGUUUCCGUGUCGUAGCUAACGCAUUAAGCGCCCCGCCUGGGGAGUACGGCCGCAAGGCUAAAACUCAAAGGAAUUGACGGGGGCCCGCACAAGCGGCGGAGCAUGCGGAUUAAUUCGAUGCAACGCGAAGAACCUUACCAAGGCUUGACAUAUACCGGAAACGUUCAGAAAUGUUCGCCCCGCAAGGUCGGUAUACAGGUGGUGCAUGGUUGUCGUCAGCUCGUGUCGUGAGAUGUUGGGUUAAGUCCCGCAACGAGCGCAACCCUCGUCGUAUGUUGCCAGCACGUAAUGGUGGGAACUCAUAUGAGACUGCCGGGGUCAACUCGGAGGAAGGUGGGGAUGACGUCAAAUCAUCAUGCCCCUUAUGUCUUGGGCUUCACGCAUGCUACAAUGGCUGGUACAAUGGGCUGCAAUACCGCGAGGUGGAGCGAAUCCCAAAAAGCCAGUCUCAGUUCGGAUUGGGGUCUGCAACUCGACCCCAUGAAGUCGGAGUCGCUAGUAAUCGCAGAUCAGCAACGCUGCGGUGAAUACGUUCCCGGGCCUUGUACACACCGCCCGUCAAGUCAUGAAAGUCGGUAACACCCGAAGCCGGUGGCCUAACCUUUUGGAGGGAGCCGUCGAAGGUGGGAUCGGUAAUUAGGACUAAGUCGUAANNAAGGGUAACC
This 727-nucleotide ribosomal RNA is filed under the name Pseudoclavibacter sp. RNAcentral describes it as "bacterial SSU rRNA". It matches the Rfam family "Bacterial small subunit ribosomal RNA", at positions 777 to 1501 of the family's 1533-position model. Lineage: Bacteria; Bacillati; Actinomycetota; Actinomycetes; Micrococcales; Microbacteriaceae. The record is from RNAcentral.